GACGAACGCUGGCGGCGUGCCUAAUACAUGCAAGUAGAACGCUGAAGGAGGAGCUUGCUCUUCUGGAUGAGUUGCGAACGGGUGAGUAACGCGUAGGUAACCUGCCUGGUAGCGGGGGAUAACUAUUGGAAACGAUAGCUAAUACCGCAUAACAGUAGAUGUUGCAUGACAUUUGCUUAAAAGGUGCAAUUGCACCACUACCAGAUGGACCUGCGUUGUAUUAGCUAGUUGGUGGGGUAACGGCUCACCAAGGCGACGAUACAUAGCCGACCUGAGAGAGUGAUCGGCCACACUGGGACUGAGACACGGCCCAGACUCCUACGGGAGGCAGCAGUAGGGAAUCUUCGGCAAUGGACGGAAGUCUGACCGAGCAACGCCGCGUGAGUGAAGAAGGUUUUCGGAUCGUAAAGCUCUGUUGUAAGAGAAGAACGAGUGUGAGAGUGGAAAGUUCACACUGUGACGGUAUCUUACCAGAAAGGGACGGCUAACUACGUG
RNAcentral lists this ribosomal RNA (495 nucleotides) under uncultured bacterium. RNAcentral describes it as "partial 16S ribosomal RNA". It matches the Rfam family "Bacterial small subunit ribosomal RNA", at positions 28 to 507 of the family's 1533-position model. The record is from RNAcentral.